Long non-coding RNA from Acanthopagrus latus (yellowfin seabream), 433 nucleotides. RefSeq lists it as uncharacterized. The transcript has 2 exons. The record is from RefSeq and is a predicted model, not a curated record. NCBI's taxonomy places the organism in Eukaryota, Metazoa, Chordata, Actinopteri, Spariformes, Sparidae.
UGCUGUCCAAAGAAAAGGAAAAAUGUGCUCUGAUGACAACUCUGCACAGGGAUGCUGCUGUGAUCACCAGGGAGGACAAGAAACCCAAGAAAGCCAUCCUGGAUUACAACAGGAACAAAGGCAGAGUUGACAACCUUGAUAAGGUUACUGGCACAUACUCUUGUCAGAGGAAGACACGUUGGCCCAUGGUGGUGAUAUUCAACAUGUUAGACGUGUCAACAUACAACACAUUCGUGCUGUGGAUGGAGCUCAAUCCAAGAUGGAAGCAGGGGAAAAACAUCUGAUAGAGUGAUGAAUAUUGUAAUGUUGUUGUUCUUGUUAGUUGUUCUUUAUUGUAUUAAGACAUUGAUCUUGUGAUAUUGUGAAAUUGUUUUGGGAUAAUUUCCAUUGUACACAAAUAAAAUAUUCCGGUCACUUUUGACCGGGAACACGA